RNAcentral lists this long non-coding RNA (520 nucleotides) under Prunus persica (peach). RNAcentral describes it as "long non-coding RNA (PPER_LNC004953)". Lineage: Eukaryota; Viridiplantae; Streptophyta; Magnoliopsida; Rosales; Rosaceae. The record is from RNAcentral.
GGUCACGUGGGUAAGCUUCAUGAUUUGGGCGAUGCUGAUUGACUUCCUCGUUGGCUCAUAAAGGUCGACCUUCUCAGUUGUCCCACCUAGUCUUUGUGUUGGUGGACUGUGCUUGCGAGGGAUUCCAUGUAUAUUGUCGACGGGAAUUGGUUCUUCAGGAGUGGGUAGUGGAUCGUCUUUCUUCACGAUCCUCAUUGUGAGAGUCAUCAGGUUGACCUCCUUGAGGGCCUAGACUUUCAUGAGUAUUUCCUGCGGGCCCAGGCGAGGGCGGAUAUCAAGUCGCCAUCCCAGCCUUUCACAUGCGGUGGUCCUCAAACUCAAUCUAGAUGGGAGGCUUCGUCUGCUAUGAGUAUGGCUUGCAGAUGCUUGUGACAUGUCAGCAAGCUGACAACGUUAUUGUCCUUCUACUUGUCUACUUACUCUUGCUCGACCUGCUUAGGACCUAUCGAAUUGCCCAUUAGCGCUUUCGUCCAUCCUUCUCUCUUCGCCCUGUUGUUCAAGGCCAAGGUUUUGAGCCAAG